RNAcentral lists this non-coding RNA (26 nucleotides) under Macaca fascicularis (crab-eating macaque). RNAcentral also lists the same sequence under 1 other name. Lineage: Eukaryota; Metazoa; Chordata; Mammalia; Primates; Cercopithecidae. The record is from RNAcentral.
UGGCUUCCCCAAUCACGUGUGCCCCC